UGGUCAAGCUACAAAGGGCUCACGGUGGAUACCUUGGCACACAGAGGCGAUGAAGGACGUGGUUACCUGCGAUAAGUCUCGGGGAGCUGGAAACACGCUUUGAUCCGGGAAUUUCCGAAUGGGGCAACCCCUAGAACGGCCGCCUGAAUCCAUAGGGCGGUGCGAGCCAACCCAGCGAACUGAAACAUCUUAGUAGCGGAGGAAAG
Molecule: ribosomal RNA, 206 nt
Filed under: uncultured Synechococcus sp.
Lineage: Bacteria; Bacillati; Cyanobacteriota; Cyanophyceae; Synechococcales; Synechococcaceae
Description: partial 23S ribosomal RNA
Rfam family: Bacterial large subunit ribosomal RNA
Source: RNAcentral